CGGAACGGGUGAGUAAUGCGUGACCAACCUGCCCCAUGCUCCAGAAUAGCUCUUGGAAACGGGUGGUAAUGCUGGAUGCUCCAACUUGACGCAUGUCUCGUUGGGAAAGUGUUUAGUGGCAUGGGAUGGGGUCGCGUCCUAUCAGCUUGUAGGCGGGGUAAUGGCCCACCUAGGCUUCGACGGGUAGCCGGCCUGAGAGGGCGGACGGCCACAUUGGGACUGAGAUACGGCCCAGACUCCUACGGGAGGCAGCAGCC
RNAcentral lists this ribosomal RNA (257 nucleotides) under uncultured Gardnerella sp. RNAcentral describes it as "partial 16S ribosomal RNA". It matches the Rfam family "Bacterial small subunit ribosomal RNA", at positions 98 to 355 of the family's 1533-position model. Lineage: Bacteria; Bacillati; Actinomycetota; Actinomycetes; Bifidobacteriales; Bifidobacteriaceae. The record is from RNAcentral.